CCAGACUCCUACGGGAGGCAGCAGUGGGGAAUAUUGCACAAUGGGGGAAACCCUGAUGCAGCAACGCCGCGUGAGUGAGGAAGUAUUUCGGUAUGUAAAGCCCUAUCGGCAGGGAAGAAGGAGGACGGUACCUGACUAAGAAGCCCCGGCUAACUACGUGCCAGCAGCCGCGGUAAUACGUAGGGGGCAAGCGUUAUCCGGAUUCACUGGGUGUAAAGGGAGCGUAGACGGCGACGCAAGUCUGGAGUGAAAGCCCGGGGCCCAACCCCGGGACUGCUCUGGAAACUGCGGCGCUGGAGUACGGGAGGGGCAGGCGGAAUUCCUGGUGUAGCGGUGAAAUGCGUAGAUAUCAGGAGGAACACCGGCGGCGAAGGCGGCCUGCUGGACUGCAACUGACGUUGAGGCCCGAAAGCGUGGGGAGCAAACAGGAUUAGAUACCCGGGUA
RNAcentral lists this ribosomal RNA (445 nucleotides) under uncultured bacterium. Its description in RNAcentral is "partial 16S ribosomal RNA". It matches the Rfam family "Bacterial small subunit ribosomal RNA", at positions 331 to 792 of the family's 1533-position model. The record is from RNAcentral.